GCUACACAUGCAAGUCGAACGAGAAAGUCCGGCUUCGGCCGGAUUAGUAAAGUGGCGCACGGGUGAGUAACGCGUGGGUAACCUACCCUUGAAUCUGGGAUAACUUCGCGAAAGUGUUGCUAAUACCGGAUAUCGUUUCGGGAACUGUGGUUCUCGGAAUGAAAGGUGAUCUCUUCAUGAAAAUUGCCGUUCGUGGAGGGGCCCGCGUACCAUUAGCUUGUUGGUGGGGUAAUGGCCUACCAAGGCGACGAUGGUUAGCUGGUCUGAGAGGAUGAUCAGCCACACUGGAACUGAAACACGGUCCAGACUCCUACGGGAGGCAGCAGUGAGGAAUUUUGCGCAAUGGGGGAAACCCUGACGCAGCAACGCCGCGUGAGUGAAGAAGGCCUUCGGGUCGUAAAGCUCUGUCAAGCGGGAAAAAAGCCUCGCGAUUAAUAGUCGAGAGGUUUGAUGGUACCGCUGGAGGAAGCACCGGCUAACUCCGUGCCAGCAGCCGCGGUAAUACGGAGGGUGCAAGCGUUGUUCGGAAUUAUUGGGCGUAAAGAGCGUGUAGGCGGGUUGGUAAGUCAGAUGUGAAAGUCCUGGGCUCAACCCAGGAAGUGCAUUUGAUACUGCCAUUCUUGAGUAUGGGAGAGGAGAGUGGAAUUCCCAGUGUAGAGGUGAAAUUCGUAGAUAUUGGGAGGAACACCCGUGGCGAAGGCGACUCUCUGGACCAAUACUGACGCUGAGACGCGAAAGCGUGGGGAGCAAACAGGAUUAGAUACCCUGGUAGUCCACGCCGUAAACGAUGAGAACUAGGUGUAGCGGGUAUUGACCCCUGCUGUGCCGAAGUUAACGCAUUAAGUUCUCCGCCUGGGGAGUACGGCCGCAAGGCUAAACUCAAGGAAUUGACGGGGACCCGCACAAGCGGUGGAGCAUGUGGUUUAAUUCGACGCAACGCGAAGAACCUUACCUGGAUUUGACAUCUCUGACAGUCCCGGAAACGGGAUCUUCCCUGCUUGC
RNAcentral lists this ribosomal RNA (1002 nucleotides) under uncultured Desulfobacteraceae bacterium. RNAcentral's name for it is "bacterial SSU rRNA". It matches the Rfam family "Bacterial small subunit ribosomal RNA", at positions 48 to 1025 of the family's 1533-position model. Lineage: Bacteria; Pseudomonadati; Thermodesulfobacteriota; Desulfobacteria; Desulfobacterales; Desulfobacteraceae. The record is from RNAcentral.